CUGGCUUUCAAGGAAAAGUAGAUGGUUUCCAAAAAUAUCAAGAUUUAUAAAAAACAUACAGAACAAUUUGAAAGCAAUAAAUUAAUUGAGGAAAUCAAUUUUGUAAAAUAUCUUCCUCGACCUUUAUGUAUUAAGUGUGGAAAGAUAAUAACAACCCAAGGCCAAAGAUGGCAUUGUUUGAUAUGUAAGGACUUUUUCUUGUGCCAGCUCUGCUAUCUAGAAGAUGGUCAUGAGCACGAGUGUUACAAUAAUACUUGGGCAAAACAUUUUGAUCAAAAAAGACAGUUGCUGUUUAAGAAAGGGGGAACCUUUACAAAGGAAUGU
This is a long non-coding RNA of Zophobas morio, 324 nucleotides long. RefSeq lists it as uncharacterized. The transcript is spliced from 3 exons. The record is from RefSeq and is a predicted model, not a curated record. Lineage: Eukaryota; Metazoa; Arthropoda; Insecta; Coleoptera; Tenebrionidae.